GUGGGUGUAGCUCAGUUGGUAGAGCCCUGGAUUGUGAUUCCAGUGGUCGCGAGUUCAAGCCUCGUCACCCACCCCA
RNAcentral lists this transfer RNA (76 nucleotides) under Gammaproteobacteria bacterium. RNAcentral's name for it is "tRNA-His". It matches the Rfam family "tRNA". Rfam says of the family: Transfer RNA (tRNA) molecules are approximately 80 nucleotides in length. Their secondary structure includes four short double-helical elements and three loops (D, anti-codon, and T loops). The record is from RNAcentral. Lineage: Bacteria; Pseudomonadati; Pseudomonadota; Gammaproteobacteria. RNAcentral also lists the same sequence under 1 other name.